Molecule: small RNA, 111 nt
Filed under: Vibrio cincinnatiensis DSM 19608
Lineage: Bacteria; Pseudomonadati; Pseudomonadota; Gammaproteobacteria; Vibrionales; Vibrionaceae
Description: Qrr RNA
Rfam family: Qrr RNA
About the family: This family represents a set of small RNAs (the Qrr RNAs) that are thought to be involved in the regulation of quorum sensing in Vibrio species. It is believed that these RNAs, guided by a protein, Hfq, can mediate the destabilisation of the quorum-sensing master regulators LuxR/HapR mRNAs.
Source: RNAcentral
UGACCCUUACUAAAGCCAAGGGUCACCUAGCCAACUGACGUUGUUAGUGAAUAGAAGUUUGUUCACACAUAAUAUAAGCCAAUCGCCUUAUUUGCGAUUGGCUCUUUUUUU